RNAcentral lists this long non-coding RNA (833 nucleotides) under Sinocyclocheilus anshuiensis. RNAcentral's name for it is "lncRNA (ENSSANG00000051627.1)". The record is from RNAcentral. Lineage: Eukaryota; Metazoa; Chordata; Actinopteri; Cypriniformes; Cyprinidae.
UGAGUAAACUGAUUCACCUUCAAGGGAUGGAAAAAUUACAGUGAAUCACUGGUAAAUAACCUACAGGAUAAUAUGGAAUCUAUUUCCAAUCAUCAAUGUAGACUCCAGCGAGCUGAAUCACUGUCUGCCGCCUCCAUGAGCAGCUGUCCACAGUAAUGGAAACUUAUCAGUGACUGGUUGGAGAUGAUUUUCACAGGCACCAACUUCAUUGACAGCCACUCAAGUGUCCAGAAAACAGCAGUCAUCAUGUGACACCUGCAGAAAACAACCUAACGCGCGCAGCUGAUACUGACGAUAACGUGACGUCAACUUAUGUAGUGCUGCGCAGUGCCACAACAGGCUUUGUUGAGCAUGCCAAAGCAGAGGAUAAGGAAAAUCAGAGUGCUAGGAGGAAGAUGACUGAUCACAAGACAUACAUUUUCAACAGCGGGCAGCUAAUCAGUGAGUGAUGCACCUUGGGACUGCGUAGCGCUCACACUCCAGGUGAAAUGACUCAUGUGUUAGCUUUAGUUGGCUUUCUUUGGGCAUAUUGCAAUGGUAAAGUAUUCAAACUAUUUAAUUUUUCCAUGCAAUUCUAAACUGUGAGCCACAACUUUCCUGUCCUUCAACUCAUCCGUGCUAGUGUGAUGUGCAAAAAUAUUGAACCUGGGAAAGUAGAGUAUAUUUGUGUGUAAUGAAAGAAUGAAAACAAUGUAUGAGUUUGCAGUGCAUCGUUCCUGUUCUGUCACCUCGAAAGCCAUAAUUCAAUAGCCAGCUAAUGCAAUGUUUCUUCUCGUUUGUUUCCUCUGCUAGUGCAUUUAUCCAUCUGAACAUAAACGCAUAUCAAUGCGCCG